Neogale vison (American mink) is the source of this 845-nucleotide long non-coding RNA. RefSeq lists it as uncharacterized. The record is from RefSeq and is a predicted model, not a curated record. Lineage: Eukaryota; Metazoa; Chordata; Mammalia; Carnivora; Mustelidae. The transcript is spliced from 6 exons.
GGAAUGGUCGCAUGUCUGCUACUCCUGAUGGGAUGAAAGGUGUUCUCGAAGUUUCUAGAGAUAAGAGAAAGGGAUGUGUGCUUUGGAUCCUGAAAUACUGAGAUUUCUUAGACACCGAGAAAAAAACGGGAAACCAUCAAAAUUGUGCUUGAAGUGACCACCAGCUUCAGAAUCGCGCAGUGUUUGAUAAAAAUCACAGAAUCCUUUCCAAGCAGGAGCUGGUGAGACUUGGAAAUCUGCAUUUUGAGCAUCUAAGGAGUGUGAUGGAGGCUGUAAUCCAAUCCUAGAGGAACACUGGACUAUUAGAGAAGAAAUCUGUUGUUGGAAUCACAUCAACCUUGGCUCUUCCAGCAGUGAGAAGCUCCCAUCAUGGUAAUUGUCAACUGGCUGGCAUCGUGGAUGGAACCAAAGUAAAAUAACUCAUUAUGAACAGAGAAGAAGAAGAGGCAGAAGGUCAAAGUGGAAAAUAGAAGCUUUAUAUUUCGAUGCAGCAGAUGAUUAGUGAAGAUUGGGCUACAUAUCUCUAAGAUAGAAGGACUCAAGGGCCAAGGCAUGCAGGUGACCGCUAGAAGCUGGAAAAGAGCGGGAAACAGAUUCUCUCCUAGAACCUACUGGAAGAAACACAGCUCUACUGAUGUCUUGAUUUUAGCACCACGAGUCUGUCAUCGGGCUUCUGACUUCGAGAACCCUAAGGUCCCUGAGGCUCUGUUCCAUCUUUAUCUCCAAGUUCAGAUUGGAUAAUUUCCAUCAAUCCACCUUCAAGUUCGUGGACUCUCUUCUGUCGUCUUCAUUCUGCCACUAAGUUCACACAUGCCUUAUAGCCAAUUAGUUACGCAGCAGAAAUG